Molecule: ribosomal RNA, 808 nt
Filed under: uncultured bacterium
Lineage: Bacteria
Description: bacterial SSU rRNA
Rfam family: Bacterial small subunit ribosomal RNA
Source: RNAcentral
UAGAGUUUUAUCCUGGCUCAGAUUGAACGCUGGCGGCGUGCCUUACACAUGCAAGUCGAACGGCAGCACGGACUUCGGUCUGGUGGCGGGUGGCGAACGGGUGAGUAAUACAUCGGAACGUGCCUAGUAGUGGGGGAUAACUACUCGAAAGAGUGGCUAAUACCGCAUGAGAUCUACGGAUGAAAGCAGGGGAUCGCAAGACCUUGUGCUACUAGAGCGGCCGAUGGCAGAUUAGGUAGUUGGUGGGAUAAAAGCUUACCAAGCCGACGAUCUGUAGCUGGUCUGAGAGGACGAUCAGCCACACUGGGACUGAGACACGGCCCAGACUCCUACGGGAGGCAGCAGUGGGGAAUUUUGGACAAUGGGCGCAAGCCUGAUCCAGCAAUGCCGCGUGCAGGAUGAAGGCCUUCGGGUUGUAAACUGCUUUUGUACGGAACGAAAAGCUCUGGGCUAAUACCUCGGAGUCAUGACGGUACCGUAAGAAUAAGCACCGGCUAACUACGUGCCAGCAGCCGCGGUAAUACGUAGGGUGCAAGCGUUAAUCGGAAUUACUGGGCGUAAAGCGUGCGCAGGCGGUUUUGUAAGACAGAGGUGAAAUCCCCGGGCUCAACCUGGGAACUGCCUUUGUGACUGCAAGGCUAGAGUACGGCAGAGGGGGAUGGAAUUCCGCGUGUAGCAGUGAAAUGCGUAGAUAUGCGGAGGAACACCGAUGGCGAAGGCAAUCCCCUGGGCCUGUACUGACGCUUAUGCACGAAAGCGUGGGGAGCAAACAGGACUAGAUACCCUGGUAGUCCACGCCCUAAACGAU